Molecule: ribosomal RNA, 305 nt
Filed under: uncultured bacterium
Lineage: Bacteria
Description: bacterial SSU rRNA
Rfam family: Bacterial small subunit ribosomal RNA
Source: RNAcentral
UUUUUCCUACGGGGGGCAGCAGUGAGGAAUAUUGGUCAAUGGACGAGAGUCUGAACCAGCCAAGUAGCGUGAAGGAUGACUGCCCUAUGGGUUGUAAACUUCUUUUAUAAAGGAAUAAAACGAGGCACGUGUGCCUUUUUGCAUGUACUUUAUGAAUAAGGAUCGGCUAACUCCGUGCCAGCAGCCGCGGUAAUACGGAGGAUCCGGGCGUUAUCCGGAUUUAUUGGGUUUAAAGGGAGCGUAGAUGGGUUGUUAAGUCAGUUGUGAAAGUUUGCGGCUUAACCGUAGAAUUGCAAGUGAUACUG